Molecule: long non-coding RNA, 2453 nt
Organism: Cygnus olor (mute swan)
Lineage: Eukaryota; Metazoa; Chordata; Aves; Anseriformes; Anatidae
Exons: 8
Source: RefSeq, a predicted model, not a curated record
UAUGAAAUACAGAAUCAAAAUUAGUUUACAGAAUCAAAAGUAGUUAGGGAGUAGGUAUUUCCUGAAGCAAACCGUGUAAUAGAGACAAUCCCAAACAUUACUGUUAUUUGUGCAUAGUAGAGAGUCAAACAGUGCCUUUGAUUUCCAAAAAGAAAAAAACAGUAGCCUGAAAUCUGUGUUUUAGCUGUAGGUAGUAAAACAGUGUUGUAGCUUCUUAGGAUGAUAGGUGACUUGGAGGAGAAAAUAGUAAGUAUGCAGUGAAAUGAAAUAUGGCACCAUUUGGCUGUAUCUGUUGACAGGAGAGUAUUGUAGAACUGAGCACUCUCAGUUCUCCCACUGAAAUCUUGUUAGAAGUUUGGACUUGCAGGAAAGCAUGAUAAGCUCUAAGCAAAGCAAUAUGAGCAAUACUGCUCGUAACGCAGCCCUUUUGUGGCUAGCCACAGCAGCCCAUGAUCUGUGCAAAAAUAACUCAUGGUUCAAAAACACCUCUACCCACCCAGAGUGUAGAAGCUUAAUUGGUAGAAAUCCCUGCUGUACCUAUCACUCUCCUAUCUCUAAUCUUACUGGGCACAGUUCUAAAAGCAUAGAGACAAAAUGAGAAGUUAUUUAAUUUCUCUUCUGUGCUUCAGAACUUCCUGAGUGUGCGUAGGACCAUAAAAUAAAUAGUAAUUCAUCUUUUAAUUAGCUUGUUCCUCAUUUUUGCAGCUACUUUCUUUGACAAGUGCAUCAUCAAUUUGCCUUGAUUUUCCAACUGAGGACAACGACACAACUCUAUCAAAGUGAGGAUCUUUUGCGUUCAUGAAGAAGCUGCUUUAGUGUUCCUGGCAUUGUCUAGACUGCAUGAACCUCUGAGGCUGCCUUUACUACCUGCUAUCUGUGGCAUGGAAUCUGCAGAGAUGGCUAGAUCAUAAAUGAAGAAAACAAUUGGUAAGAAAAAGGAUUGAGUCAGGAAUGUAUUAGGGCAAAUGUGUAGUUUUAUAUACAUGACAAGUAUCAGCUGGUGAUUACCUGCAUCUUUCAAGUCAGCCACUUGCUGAAAUUCCAUAGUGGAUUGCACCAUUGCACCAACGUAGAGGAAAUUCUUUGUCUGCCUUUUCUUCAGCUAACAUCAUAUUUGUUUCGGAGCUCUUGUGAGGAGAAUGACUAAUGUCAAUUAAAGGAAAGUGCUGCAGUUACAAUUCAGAAGUCUUGAUCCAGCAACAAUCUGAAAGCUCCUGAAGUAAGGCUCUGCAAUAACUCCCUAAUUACGAUGGAGGGGUUGCCCUUCUGAGCACUCUCCAGCCCGUGUAGGACCAGAUUCCAGAACCUGGCCAACUAUUCCGUUGGGAAAGGCAUGCAAAGUAUUAGGAAAUGUCCUCCAAGCAGCUAGGGUGUCAAAGUUCCUGUUGCUCUGUGUGGGCUUGGGAAAUCUCCUACAGCUGCGGAAUGGACAUAAAGAGGUAGGAUCCUAUGUUGUCUCCCUGUCAGACAGUCCAAGGAGGCUGGGAGCAGCAAAAUCCAGCCUGGUGUUUCACACUGCUUACACAGCUCCAGGUAAUACAAGAAUUUUCCAGUCCCUUGGAAGAAUUUACUUUGCUGCCAGCCUUUAAGACUUUUGCAUGUACUGGAUGCAACUUUAUCAGCUGAAUCUGUGUUCAAUCAUAUAUACUCUUUCUAUGGAGCAGUGCUCUACUUGCUAUGUUGAGGUGACUGCUGGGAAUGCCAUGGAAGCUUAGCUAUAUUUGUGCUUUCCUGUUUGCUCUUCAGAAUUAUUGUCGCAAAAAUAACACAGCAUAUGGUAGCUGGUAGGAGUUGGUUGGUUGUUUAGUCAGGAGGUUUUCUGGAGGACAUGAGCUGGAUAUUCUAAUUUCAGCAUUUGUACAGAGCUGCUCUGACCAGAAUGAGGGGUUCCUUAUGUAGAAGCCACAUCUUUUUAAACUUAUUUUCCAGGCAACGUGAUCAUUCUUCAAGGAUGAAAAUAAGUCGGUUCUUCACUCAGGGGUUGAAUUUUAUUAUUAUUGAUAAGUUAUUGGAUCAUUUUGAGGUUGAUAAUUAGAUAUUUGUAUUAAAAUAAAGAAUGAUCUAUGAGUUUAUUUUAUUUAAAGGUCAGAUCCAACCUAUUAAUUUAAAUUCAGCUACAAGCUGAUUGUUUAAGGAACUUCAUUUUUACAAUCUUCAGAACUGUAAUGUACUCAGCUAUGCUCCUCAGAGAUAGAUUUCCAAAAUCUUUACUGACUUGUAUAUCUUUGAUUUAGAAAUCUAGCAACUUACUUGGUUUAGGAGUUGAUUUACCAAAAUGAUCCUAAACAUUAUUAUCCUUUUUUUUUUCCUAUCCAUUAUUAUGCAGCACUGCCUUCCAGUGGAAGGACUUAUCCAUAUUUUCUUUAAAGAAUGCUGAAUCAGAAUACUGAAUCCUCUGGUUGUUACACCCUUUUCUCGUUUGACUUGCCUAAUUAACUUGCAACCUCUUCAGG